UAGCGUAUAUUAAAGUUGUUGCAGUUAAAAAGCUCGUAGUCGGAUGUCGGGCUCGGGCAGGCUGUCGGCUUCGGUCGGACGGCAGGCUCGGGUCUUUCUGCCUGAGGAUCCCGUUGCACUUAAUUGUGGGGCGUGGGGACGCAGGCCGUUUACUUUGAAAAAAUUAGAGUGUUCAAAGCAGGCCUACGCUUGAAUACAUUAGCAUGGAAUAAUGGAAUAGGACUUUGGUGCUAUUUUGUUGGUUUAUGGGACCGAAGUAAUGAUUAACAGGGACAGUUGGGGCCGUUUAUAUUUCGUUGUCAGAGGUGAAAUUCUUGGAUUUACGAAAGAUAAACUUCUACGAAAGCAUUCGGCAAGGAUGUUUUCAUUGAUCAAGAACGAAAGUUAGGGGAUCGAAGACGAUCAGAUACCGUCGUAGUCUUAACCAUAAACUAUGCCGACUAGGGAUCAGUGGAUGUCAAUUUGCGACUCCAUUGGCACCUUGUGAGAAAUCAAAGUUUUUGGGUUCCGGGGGGAGUAUGGUCGCAAGGCUGAAACUUAAAGGAAUUGACGGAAGGGCACCACCAGGAGUGGAGCCUGCGGCUUAAUUUGACUCAACACGGGGAAACUUACCAGGUCCAGACAUAGUAAGGAUUGACAGAUUGAAAGCUCUUUCUUGAUUCUAUGGGUGGUGGUGCAUGGCCGUUCUUAGUUGGG
Molecule: ribosomal RNA, 696 nt
Filed under: uncultured marine eukaryote
Lineage: Eukaryota
Description: SSU rRNA
Rfam family: Eukaryotic small subunit ribosomal RNA
Source: RNAcentral